Molecule: ribosomal RNA, 495 nt
Filed under: uncultured bacterium
Lineage: Bacteria
Description: partial 16S ribosomal RNA
Rfam family: Bacterial small subunit ribosomal RNA
Source: RNAcentral
GACGAACGCUGGCGGCGUGCCUAAUACAUGCAAGUAGAACGCUGAAGGAGGAGCUUGCUUCUCUGGAUGAGUUGCGAACGGGUGAGUAACGCGUAGGUAACCUGCCUGGUAGCGGGGGAUAACUAUUGGAAACGAUAGCUAAUACCGCAUAAUAUUGACUAUUGCAUGAUAGUCAGUUGAAAGGUGCAACUGCACCACUACCAGAUGGACCUGCGUUGUAUUAGCUAGUUGGUGGGGUAACGGCUCACCAAGGCGACGAUACAUAGCCGACCUGAGAGGGUGAUCGGCCACACUGGGACCGAGACACGGCCCAGACUCCUACGGGAGGCAGCAGUAGGGAAUCUUCGGCAAUGGACGGAAGUCUGACCGAGCAACGCCGCGUGAGUGAAGAAGGUUUUCGGAUCGUAAAGCUCUGUUGUAAGAGAAGAACGAGUGUGAGAGUGGAAAGCUCACACUGUGACGGUAUCUUACCAGAAAGGGACGGCUAACUACGUG